Molecule: ribosomal RNA, 274 nt
Filed under: uncultured bacterium
Lineage: Bacteria
Description: partial 16S ribosomal RNA
Rfam family: Bacterial small subunit ribosomal RNA
Source: RNAcentral
AUACGGAGGGUGCAAGCGUUACUCGGAAUCACUGGGCGUAAAGCGUGCGCAGGCGGCUUGAUAAGUUGGAUGUGAAAGCCUACGGCUCAACCGUAGAACUGCAUCCAAAACUGUCAGGCUAGAGUGUGGGAGAGGAAGAUGGAAUUAGUUGUGUAGGGGUAAAAUCCGUAGAGAUAACUAGGAAUACCAAAAGCGAAGGCGAUCUUCUGGAACAGUACUGACGCUGAGGCGCGAAAGCGUGGGGAGCAAACAGGAUUAGAAACCCCAGUAGUCC